CGUUGGGAGCUCUCCCAUAUGGUCGACCUGCAGGCGGCCGCGAAUUCACUAGUGAUUCGUAUUACCGCGGCUGCUGGCACGUAGUUAGCCGGUGCUUCUUUACCCAUUACCGUCACUCACGCUUCGUCACAGGCGAAAGCGGUUUACAACCCGAAGGCCGUCAUCCCGCACGCGGCGUUGCUGCAUCAGGCUUCCGCCCAUUGUGCAAUAUUCCCCACUGCUGCCUCCCGUAGGAGUCUGGGCCGUGUCUCAGUCCCAGUGUGGCUGAUCAUCCUCUCAGACCAGCUAAGGAUCGUCGCCUUGGUGCGCCUUUACCACACCAACUAGCUAAUCCUACGCGGGCUCAUCCCUCGGCGAUAAAUCUUUGGACUUACGUCGUCAUCCGGUAUUAGCAGUCAUUUCUAACUGUUAUUCCGAACCAAGGGGCAGAUUCCCACGCGUUACGCACCCGUGCGCCACUAAGGCCGAAGCCUUCGUUCGACUUGCAUGUGUUAGGCAUGCCGCCAGCGUUCGUUCUGAGCCAUGAUCAAACUCUAAUCGAAUUCCCGCGGCCG
This 554-nucleotide ribosomal RNA is filed under the name uncultured Alphaproteobacteria bacterium. Its description in RNAcentral is "partial 16S ribosomal RNA". The record is from RNAcentral. Lineage: Bacteria; Pseudomonadati; Pseudomonadota; Alphaproteobacteria.